Molecule: long non-coding RNA, 261 nt
Filed under: Vigna radiata
Lineage: Eukaryota; Viridiplantae; Streptophyta; Magnoliopsida; Fabales; Fabaceae
Description: long non-coding RNA (VRAD_LNC008055)
Source: RNAcentral
GGCUGGUGAUUUAAUUAUUUGGAGAAAGAAAGUGGUGUUGCAUUUGGUGGCGCGCUGUGAUGUCCUGAAUGGAGAAGCAUUUUGGCUUUUCUUGGAGAAAGCUCACAACCCAAUAAUUGAAGAAGAGGUGUGGCAACAAUAAAAAAAAAACAAAAAACACAUGGCCCAAGCACACAACUCACAUUGAGAUGCAGCCUUCACACGGUCUGCAUAUAAAAAAUGACACCCAGCUACUGCAACCCGAGGAGUGCUGAAGCAAGC